GCUUUGUUGAGCCGUCACACGGA
This 23-nucleotide small nuclear RNA is filed under the name Arabidopsis thaliana (thale cress). Its description in RNAcentral is "snRNA_08711". The record is from RNAcentral. Lineage: Eukaryota; Viridiplantae; Streptophyta; Magnoliopsida; Brassicales; Brassicaceae.